CAGUAGCCGCGGGAAUACGGAGGGAGCUAGCGUUGUUCGGAAUUACUGGGCGUAAAGCGCACGUAGGCGGCUUUGUAAGUUAGAGGUGAAAGCCUGGAGCUCAACUCCAGAACUGCCUUUAAGACUGCAUCGCUUGAAUCCAGGAGAGGUGAGUGGAAUUCCGAGUGUAGAGGUGAAAUUCGUAGAUAUUCGGAAAGAACACCAACGGCGAAAGCACUCUGCUGGGCCGACACUGACACUGAGAGACGAAAGCUAGGGGAGCAAAUGGGAUUAGAUACCCCCGUAGUCCCUGUCUCUUAUA
This 301-nucleotide ribosomal RNA is filed under the name uncultured bacterium. RNAcentral describes it as "partial 16S ribosomal RNA". It matches the Rfam family "Bacterial small subunit ribosomal RNA", at positions 509 to 808 of the family's 1533-position model. The record is from RNAcentral.